Molecule: ribosomal RNA, 253 nt
Filed under: uncultured bacterium
Lineage: Bacteria
Description: partial 16S ribosomal RNA
Rfam family: Bacterial small subunit ribosomal RNA
Source: RNAcentral
UACAGAGGCCACGAGCGUUAAUCGGAAUCACUGGGCUUAAAGGGUGCGCAGGCGGCUCGACAAGCGUUCCGUGAAAUCCCCCGGUUCAACCGGGGAACUGCGGAGCGAACGGCCGAGCUUGAGGCAAGUAGGGGCGGGCAGAACUGGAGGUGGAGCGGUGAAAUGCGUAGAUAUCUACAGGAAUACCGAUGGUGAAGGCGGCCCGCUGGGCAUGACCUGACGCUCAUGCACGAAAGCGUGGGGAGCAAACAGG